GUAGGUGGCAAGCGUUGUCCGGAAUUAUUGGGCGUAAAGCGCGCGCAGGCGGGGUCCUUUAAGUCUGAUGUGAAAAGCCCACGGGCUCAACCGUGGAGGGUCAUUGGAAACUGGGGGACUUGAGUACAGAAGAGGAAAGCGGAAUUCCAAGUGUAGCGGUGAAAUGCGUAGAGAUUUGGAGGAACACCAGUGGCGAAGACGGCUUUCUGGUCUGUAACUGACGCUGAGGCGCGAAAGCGUGGGGAGCAAACAGGAUUAGAUACCCUGGUAGUCCACGCCGUAAACGAUGAGUGCUAAGUGUUAGGGGGUUUCCGCCCCUUAGUGCUGCAGCUAACGCAUUAAGCACUCCGCCUGGGGAGUACGGCCGCAAAGGCUG
Molecule: ribosomal RNA, 376 nt
Filed under: uncultured organism
Description: partial 16S ribosomal RNA
Rfam family: Bacterial small subunit ribosomal RNA
Source: RNAcentral